RNAcentral lists this unclassified non-coding RNA (339 nucleotides) under soil metagenome. RNAcentral describes it as "partial contains 5.8S ribosomal RNA, internal transcribed spacer 2, and large subunit ribosomal RNA". The stretch from base 1 to 120 matches the Rfam family "5.8S ribosomal RNA", at positions 35 to 154 of the family's 154-position model. The record is from RNAcentral.
GAUGAAGAACGCAGCGAAAUGCGAUACGUAGUGUGAAUUGCAGAAUUCAGUGAAUCAUCGAACCUUUGAACGCACAUUGCACCUCUCGGUAUUCCGGGAGGUAUGCCUGUUCGAGCGUCAUUUGUACCCUCAAGCUCUGCUUGGUGUUGGGUGUUUGUUCCGCCUCUGUGUGUGAACUCGCCUCAAAACAAUUGGCAGCCGGCGUACUUGUUUCGGAGCGCAGCACAUUUUGCGAUCCAGAUCAACGUACAGCGGCAUCCAAGAAGCCUUAUUUAACGCUCUUGACCUCGGAUCAGGUAGGGAUACCCGCUGAACUUAAGCAUAUCAAUAAGCGGAGGA